GCACGUCUUGUCAUGUGUCACAAGUGGGUCUUGUGACUAUGGCUUGGCAACACAUGCAUCAUUUGACAGUCACAUGAGCUCUCCAUGUGGUCAAAAUUUGAAUAUAAAUCAAGCGUGCUUUCACAACUUCCCCACAGAGGCCGAGAGGACAGCCAAGUUUGUGUUUGUACUUUAAGACCGAGCCAGUGAACACCUUCUUUUGUGGAAAAUUUGGAAAAAAAAAGAGACAAAACUUUGAAAUAAAAAUGAAGUCAUUCGUAGCAUUUCUACUUGUUCUGGUGACUGUGGCGAAUGCGGCCUCCUUUGCCGCGCUCAGCGAAGACGUUCAAUGGCUCGCUUGGAAAACCUAUCAUAAAAAAACCUACAGCGACGAGUAUGAAGAACGAUUUAGACGAGGCAUUUGGGUGUAUAAUUUAAAGGUAUGUUCGCUUAAAACUCAACGAAUCUUUGCUGUAUAAAGGUUUAAAUUAAUACGCAUGUUAAUAUUGGGUCAGAACAUCAGAAGAUUCCUGAAAUUUCUAAUGUGGUAUGACAUUUUUAACGAAUAAAUUUAGGAUAAGCAAAGUAUUAAAAAGUAUUUGUUAGAAUGGUAUAUUAUAUAUUCGUGAAUUGCGAGUGCUUUAGAUCAUUAAAAAAUUGCCUGUAUAAAAUUAAAAUAUACACAAAUUGAGUAUGUUUGUAUUUAAUAAAAAUGGUAAAGUACUUCUUAUGCAUGAGUCAAUUCCAGGAG
Molecule: non-coding RNA, 730 nt
Organism: Paramuricea clavata
Lineage: Eukaryota; Metazoa; Cnidaria; Anthozoa; Malacalcyonacea; Plexauridae
Source: the annotation of a GenBank genome assembly